RNAcentral lists this ribosomal RNA (467 nucleotides) under uncultured bacterium. RNAcentral describes it as "partial 16S ribosomal RNA". It matches the Rfam family "Bacterial small subunit ribosomal RNA", at positions 28 to 507 of the family's 1533-position model. The record is from RNAcentral.
GACGAACGCUGGCGGCGUGCUUAACACAUGCAAGUCGAACGGAAAGGCCCUGCUUUUGUGGGGUGCUCGAGUGGCGAACGGGUGAGUAACACGUGAGUAACCUGCCCUUGACUUUGGGAUAACUUCAGGAAACUGGGGCUAAUACCGGAUAGGAGCUCCUGCUGCAUGGUGGGGGUUGGAAAGUUUCGGCGGUUGGGAUGGACUCGCGGCUUAUCAGCUUGUUGGUGGGGUAGUGGCUUACCAAGGCUUUGACGGGUAGCCGGCCUGAGAGGGUGACCGGCCACAUUGGGACUGAGAUACGGCCCAGACUCCUACGGGAGGCAGCAGUGGGGAAUAUUGCACAAUGGGCGGAAGCCUGAUGCAGCAACGCCGCGUGCGGGAUGACGGCCUUCGGGUUGUAAACCGCUUUCGCCUGUGACGAAGCGUGAGUGGCGGUAAUGGGUAAAGAAGCACCGGCUAACUACGUG